Molecule: ribosomal RNA, 497 nt
Filed under: uncultured bacterium
Lineage: Bacteria
Description: partial 16S ribosomal RNA
Rfam family: Bacterial small subunit ribosomal RNA
Source: RNAcentral
GACGAACGCUGGCGGCGUGCCUAAUACAUGCAAGUUGAGCGAUGAAGAUUGGUGCUUGCACCAAUUUGAAGAGCAGCGAACGGGUGAGUAACGCGUGGGGAAUCUGCCUUUGAGCGGGGGACAACAUUUGGAAACGAAUGCUAAUACCGCAUAACAACUUUAAACAUAAGUUUUAAGUUUGAAAGAUGCAAUUGCAUCACUCAAAGAUGAUCCCGCGUUGUAUUAGCUAGUUGGUGAGGUAAAGGCUCACCAAGGCGAUGAUACAUAGCCGACCUGAGAGGGUGAUCGGCCACAUUGGGACUGAGACACGGCCCAAACUCCUACGGGAGGCAGCAGUAGGGAAUCUUCGGCAAUGGACGAAAGUCUGACCGAGCAACGCCGCGUGAGUGAAGAAGGUUUUCGUAUCGUAAAACUCUGUUGGUAGAGAAGAACGUUGGUGAGAGUGGAAAGCUCAUCAAGUGACGGUAACUACCCAGAAAGGGACGGCUAACUACGUG